RNAcentral lists this long non-coding RNA (729 nucleotides) under Mytilus galloprovincialis (Mediterranean mussel). Lineage: Eukaryota; Metazoa; Mollusca; Bivalvia; Mytilida; Mytilidae. The record is from RNAcentral.
CGCCCUGAUAGUCCGUUCGCCCUGGGUUCGUUCGCCCUAUAUUCAUUUAUGAUAUGUAUAUGUUACAUCAAUGAACGAAAUAUAUAUAUAUAUUCAAAUUUAUUAAAAUUUAUAUAUAUCUAUUAAAAGUUAAAUACAGAAUAUUUGCCAAAUUUAUAUUAAUUAAAUAAAAGUCUUGGCUGCAUUGUUACACUUUAUUUUAUAAUUACUUUUAAUAUUACUGUUGAUGGAAUUUGAUUGCUGAGUAGGUGUCAUUUGAAACCAUUGAUAUCACUGAUUGUUAUAUAAAUUGUCUUUGAUGGAUUAAUAAUGAGAAUAACAUUUUUCUCAAAUAAAAUAGUCAGCUUGGAUGGGUAAAAUUCAGUUUGAAAUAAAAAAAUAAAUAAAAAAAGGAUGGGUAAAAACACUGAUGACAAGUGAUCAAUGUACAGCAGUGUGACUGUGUUUUUGGUAUUUGUUUCACUAAUAGUAAUUCUAUUUAGUGCUUUUAAAUAUUUGUUUAGGAAAUAAAUGUGUGCGACGUACAGUUCGGAAUUGAUCUUGUUAUAACUGUUACUGAAUAUUUUUAAGUUGUUAAAAUGUAUCAAUAAAGUUAAAUAUAUAAAUAACAUAGUCAUGUUAGUCUUUAGGAUUAUUGUUUUAUGUCAGGUAUAAGUCAGAAACUUAUCCUUGUAGAAGCAAGACAACAACUUAGUCUUCAGUUGUUUCACAUUUAAAAAUACAAUGUAG